AAAGCCUGCAAAGUGUGUACUGGCAUCUAGUGACAAUGGCAAAACCAACUUCAGGGCAGUGGUAUAGGCAGAAGAUGAUAUUCCUGAAAGCUCACUCUUCUCACCAAUGCCAUCAGAGGAAAAGGCUGCUUCCCCUCCCAAACCUCUGCUUUCAAAUGCCUCAGCAACUCCAGUUGGGAGAAGGGGCCGUCUGGCCAACCUUGCUGCAACUAUUUGCUCCUGGGAAGAUGAUGUAAAUCACUCAUUUGCAAAACAAAACAGUGUACAAGAACAGCCUGGUACCACUUGUUUAUCCAAAUUUUCCUCUGCAAGUGGAGCAUCUGCUAGGAUCAAUAGCAGCAGUGUUAAGCAGGAAGCUACAUUCUGUUCCCAAAGGGAUGGUGAUGCCUCUUUGAAUAAAGCCCCAUCCUCAACUGCUGAUGAUGCGUCUUUGGUUAAUGCCUCAAUUUCCAGCUCUGUGAAAGCUGCUUCUUCUCCAGUGAAAUCUACUACAUCUAUCACUGAUGCUAAAAGUUGUGAGGGACAAAAUCCUGAGCUACUUCCAAAAACUCCUAUUAGUCCUCUGAAAACGG
RNAcentral lists this small RNA (572 nucleotides) under Pongo abelii (Sumatran orangutan). RNAcentral describes it as "processed transcript". The record is from RNAcentral. Lineage: Eukaryota; Metazoa; Chordata; Mammalia; Primates; Hominidae.